RNAcentral lists this long non-coding RNA (511 nucleotides) under Fukomys damarensis (Damara mole-rat). Its description in RNAcentral is "lncRNA (ENSFDAG00000028920.1)". The record is from RNAcentral. Lineage: Eukaryota; Metazoa; Chordata; Mammalia; Rodentia; Bathyergidae.
GUGGCUUUGAGGUUUAUUUUCAUGUGUAUCAAUAUCAAAAGGCUGAAGGUACUUUGGGCAUCAGGCACAGUUUGACCAAGACUUAACCUUGGCUUCUCUGCUUCUGUCUCCUCUGCUUUCCAGGGUUUCUCUUCAGAGUGGCAUAUUUCAUAGUCCCAGGAAGGAUGCCAGCAGAAAACAGGAGAGGUCUGGGGAGCCCCUGGAGUUUUGGCUGCCUCCUGAGAAGCCCCGUGCAGGGUGGCCAUCUCUGCCUGCUUGUGAAGUGACCCUGGUGCCUGCUAUGGGGUGUAGCUGGGAGACCGGUGCUCCCCACACAGAGGCUAGAAGCUGGAUUUCCUCAGAGCAGCCCGGCCUGGGUGCCUCUGUCUUCCUCUGCCAGCUCGGAGAAGCCACUGCAGUCCCAGCCCAGGCACCAGCUCCGGUGGCACAGAGGGCCAGGCCCUUGCUCUGCUCCCACAGACCCUGCUUGUCCCAGGGACCUGGCUGUGUCCGGGGUGGACAUGCUUGCUGA